RNAcentral lists this non-coding RNA (1171 nucleotides) under Acyrthosiphon pisum (pea aphid). RNAcentral describes it as "Eukaryotic large subunit ribosomal RNA". It matches the Rfam family "Eukaryotic large subunit ribosomal RNA", at positions 1 to 1085 of the family's 3401-position model. Lineage: Eukaryota; Metazoa; Arthropoda; Insecta; Hemiptera; Aphididae. The record is from Rfam by way of RNAcentral.
CGACCUCAGAUCAGGCGGGACUACCCGCCGGAUUUAAGCAUAUUAAUAAGCGGAGGAAAAGAAAACAACCGUGAUUCCCUUAGUAGCGGCGAGCGAACCGGGAAAAGCCCAUCGCCGAAUCUCGCCGCGCACUUUUGUGUCGCGGCACGUAUGAGAGUUGUGGCGUACGGGCCGGCCUCGUUGCCGGGGCGCACGUGACGGUCCAAGUCUCCCUUGAACGGGGCCAUGGCCCGCAGAUGGUGCCAGGCCAGUAGAGGCCGUCACAGCGUUCCGGGAUCGGACCGCGCCUUCGAGUCGGGUUGCUUGAGAGUGCAGCCCGAAGCGGGUGGUAAACUCCAUCUAAGGCUAAAUACGGCCACGAGACCGAUAGUUUACAAGUACCGUGAGGGAAAGUUGAAAAGAACUUUGAAGAGAGAGUUCAUAAGAACGUGAAACCGCUCGGUUGUAAACGGACAGAGCUCGCGAAUCCCCGCCCGGGCGAAUUCACGGUCGGUCUAACCGGCCGGGCCGGAUCUUUCGCUCGGUUAGCGGACGUCGCGACCCGUUGGGCGCCGGCCGAAUGGCCCGGGUGACGUUCGUCGCGUCGGUCGCGUUUCGGCGUGACCCGUUCGCGCCGAGCCCCGGUGCUCAUGGUCGGCUCGCCCGACGGCAAGAACCGUCGACGCGGCCCCGUCGCAGGCGGGGUCCCGUCGGUCGGCGACGUGUUUCGAGCUACUUUCCGACCCGUCUUGAAACACGGACCAAGGAGUCUAACGUGUGCGCGAGUCAACGGUGAUCUUACGAAAAACCACGUUUGGCGCAAUGAAAGUGAACCGUUUACGGUGCGGACGAUGGCCUAGCGACCGAACCCACCGGCGUUCAAAGUCGCGCUGGUCCGCAGUCCGGGGGCGUCUCCGCCAAGUCGGCUUCGGCCGGCUGGGGGCGCACCCUUAGCGCACACGUUGGUACCCGAAAGAUGGUGAACUAUGCCUGGCCAGGAUGAAGUCAGGGGAAACCCUGAUGGAGGUCCGCAGCGAUUCUGACGUGCAAAUCGAUCGUCUGAGCUGGGUAUAGGGGCGAAAGACUAAUCGAACCAUCUAGUAGCUGGUUCCAUCCGAAGUUUCCCUCAGGAUAGCUGGCGCCGAUGUGUCCCGCCCGUUCGCGGGCGUACGGACGCCGGUGGGACUCCGCG